UACAGAGGUGGCGAGCGUUGUUCGGAUUUACUGGGCGUAAAGGGCGCGUAGGCGGCCCCGUGUGUCGUGUGUGAAAUACCCGGGCUCAACUUGGGUGCUGCAUUUCAAACUGGAAGUCUAGAGUGCAGGAGAGGAGAAUGGAAUUCCUAGUGUAGCGGUGAAAUGCGUAGAGAUUAGGAAGAACACCAGUGGCGAAGGCGAUUCUCUGGACUGUAACUGACGCUGAGGCUCGAAAGCGUGGGGAGCAAACAGGAUUAGAUACCCG
RNAcentral lists this ribosomal RNA (265 nucleotides) under uncultured prokaryote. RNAcentral describes it as "partial 16S ribosomal RNA". It matches the Rfam family "Bacterial small subunit ribosomal RNA", at positions 524 to 788 of the family's 1533-position model. The record is from RNAcentral.